Molecule: non-coding RNA, 92 nt
Organism: Mycena latifolia
Lineage: Eukaryota; Fungi; Basidiomycota; Agaricomycetes; Agaricales; Mycenaceae
Source: the annotation of a GenBank genome assembly
UCAGACAUGGUGUAUGGAACACCGCCUCAUAAAUUGAGAAGCCGGUCACCUUAGUUAUGAAGCAGCCCGGGGUUCGACUCCCCGUGUCUGAA